This is a long non-coding RNA of Lycium barbarum (goji berry), 557 nucleotides long. RefSeq lists it as uncharacterized. Lineage: Eukaryota; Viridiplantae; Streptophyta; Magnoliopsida; Solanales; Solanaceae. The record is from RefSeq and is a predicted model, not a curated record. The transcript has 2 exons.
UAUGUGAAUUGUUGGAAUGCAUAACUUAAUUUUAGUUGGCUAGCGCCAUUAUAAAAAGCCACAAAGCUGCAAGUUGCAACUCAAUGCAUUCAAAUCUUUGAAUCACACCUUUUAAAGUUUCAUCCCCCUCUAAACCAUUCAAUUUCUCAUCUAGAGAAAUAGUUAUGUCAGGAAGAUCAGAAAGAUCUGCAAUUUUUUUGGUCAUAUUCGUGAUGUUGUUUGCCAUCCAAAUAACUAAUGCAUCAACUACUUCUAAUGUUGGAGAUGUCAAUGUGCUUGGAAAAUCAAGCAGUGACACGUCAUUUCCAUGCUCUACGGAUGCCGAUUGCAUAAAAGUGUACUGCGGCCACGGGGAAGAUGCCGUAUGUGUCUAUGGACAGUGCUUCUGUCCAUGAACACAAGCUUCACAGGCUAAUUAUGGACCAAAACGAGUUCACAAGAUUGACCAAGACUGAUUUAUGUUGUGCACAAUUGAAAUCUGAUUUAUGUUUUUAUUUUUCGUUGUUAUUAAGGCUCAAUAAAAGCCCUUAGCUUAUAUACAUAUUGAUGUUGACAAA